Long non-coding RNA from Astatotilapia calliptera (eastern happy), 2579 nucleotides. The record is from Ensembl. NCBI's taxonomy places the organism in Eukaryota, Metazoa, Chordata, Actinopteri, Cichliformes, Cichlidae.
CCAAACAAGGGCCUUUUUGAGGGCCUAAACAUGCUCAAAAACUCAUGAAAUUUUGCACACAUGCCAGGUCUGGUGAAAAAUUUUGUAUUUUAAUGGUUUUACUUAUGAGCACUGGGAAAUGGCUCUAGAGCGCCACCUAUGCCUUGUUAAAUGCAGCCCUACGACCACAUGGUUUGAGCUACAUGUAUGAAAUUUGGCACACAUGUGUAUCAUUCCAAGACGAACAAAAAAGUCUGUGGGCCCAUUGACGCAAACCCAACAGGAAGUCCGCCAUUUGGAAGAGAAGGUGACAUUUUGGCUCUAAUUUUGCCAUUUCCAUGCCUCGAACUUUAACGAACUCCUCCUUGGGAUUUGGUCCUAUAAACUUCAAAUUUGGACAGUGUCAACUACACCCUUGUGCCAUGUUAAAUUGCGGAGCUUUUGAGUUUUCACAAUACUAUGAGGCCGUGGCGCCAUGGCGAAUUUCGAUGACUCGCCAUGAAAAUCUUAUUGCCUCUCAUUUUGUCAUACAUUUUCUGACCUUGACCAAAGAGCACACAUAUGAUAAGGCUCCACCCCUGAACAUAUUUCAACUGCCAUAUUUGACACCAGGGACAGCGCCACCUAGUGGGAACAGGAAAUGUCAUGUUUUACACUUUGGGGUACAGUAUAGUGAUGGGUGACAUCUGCAGCCUCAAAUUUCUCCAGGAAAGCCUUAAGGAGUUGGUCUUGGGUUACAGUGAAAACUGUGAGUUUUCGCGAAAGGGUGUGACCCCAGCAGCAUGGCGAACUUUGAUGUCACGCCAUGAAGAAACAAAUUAGUAUAACUCAAUGAAAUCCAGUCUGUUCAGUACCAGACUUUACAGGCAUGAUGUCAGACCCGCCCUGAACAGAUUGAUGUGCCCAUUGUCAGAAAUACGGACAGCGCCACCUAGUGGCAACAGGAAAUGUCAUGGCUUUAACUUUGUUGUACUGAUUUUCACAGGUUGAUCGUGGCCACCUCAAAAGCGGUGAAUAUCACCAUCAGUCCCUCGUGAUGCUUCAGUGCAAAAAUUGUGACUUUAAACUGAACGGCGCACCCUGGUGGCAACGCGGUUCAUCAUGAAAGAUGAAGUGGCUUUUGAGGGGCUUGGAAAGUUUAUAGAGGCUUGAAAUUUGGCACACACCUCCAAAUGGAUGAAGGCUUUGUUGUCAUGUAACCAUUUUCCUUGAAUAGCGCAAAAUGGCUCCACAGCGCCCCCUACAAUAUUUCAAAACAUCAGCCCCUGCUCUGUGUUUUAUCUAUGAGUCUGACACUUGGUAAGCUUGUGUAAGAUAUCAAGAUGUACAAAAAAGUCUCUUGGAGCAAUAUCCCAAAUCCAACAGGAAGUCAGCCAUUUUAAAAUUAAUGUGUAAUUUUGAUGACAUUUUCCCCCCUUUUCAGGCCUCAUACUUUGACGAACUCCUCCAAGGGAUUUCAUCAUAUUGAAGCAUUCUUCAGUGUGUAGAAUCUAAAGACCUUUGUGAUGUUAAAUUGCGAAGCUUUUUCCGUUCAGGGAAACGGGGUGGUCAUGGCGGCACGUAGAGUUUCAAUCACUCGCAAAAAGCAGUAAUCUGCUGUCACUAAAAAACACAAUGUCCAAUCUCUCCCAAAGGUCGCAGGUGUGAUGAGACUCGAGCUUGGAAAUGUUUGUUAUGCUAUUUGUCAAUAAUGGUUAGAGCGCCACCUAGUGGCAUGACUAUAAUCCUGGUUGAAUAAGAUGAAAUGUUAGCUGGUGAUUAAAAGCAUGAAAUCCAUCAAUGUGACAUCACAUCGGACGUGCCGGUUUGAGGUGUUGGCAGUGGCUCGACGUGCCGGGGGUGCGAGGGCCCUCAUAACGCUGCUUGCAGCUUUAAUUUAUGAGUUGAGUUUGACUCAACAGAUCAGAGCUGAAGAUUUUAGUUUCUUGGAAAUGCCAUAAUGUAUGGGCAAUUGUGAAAAGUAAGGAUUUUCUGUGUUACUCUGGCAUUAUUUUUUAUCCUUGUGUUUUAUCCCAUAAAGUAGACAUGCUCUAAUUACCUUCACUGUUAGACAUUCAUCAUCCAUGGACUUUAAUUUUGAAUAUUUUCUUUCAUGUUAAUACAUUAAAAUAUAACAUUGUGAUAAUUUGUACAUGUAUAAUCGAAAAAGACACGUUUAUUGCAUGAUCAGACAUAGUCAGAGCGAUAGGUAUAAAGUGUCAGUUUCUCUGUGUGUUUAUGUAUAAUCACCUCAUGUUGUGUCAUUGAAGCGCUGUUCUGAUCCUAGGAUCUAAAACCUAGUCCCCGACCUGCAGACAGGAAACAUUUUAAUGCUUUUGCAAGUAUGAUUAACUGCACUGCUGUUGUUACUUUAAUGUAACUGACCCGAAUGCUUCUUCCACUGCUGUUUGUCUCGCAGAAGUGCUCAUUAUGAUGAGUUGUCUGUUUUCUUCUACCUCUGGUCAUCAUUCAACCACUAAUGGAAGAAUCUGUGUUUAUCCUCCACAUUUGUGUUUUUUAGUCCUUGAGCAAUUUGAUAAACAAUAUAAACAGCAAACGUGUCAGAUUUUGUCUUUUCUUGUCCUCACUAAGUCUUAUUUCAUUAAAACAGUGUUUCCAAC